GAUGAAGAACGUAGCGAAAUGCGAUAACUAAUGUGAAUUGCAGAAUUCAGUGAAUCAUCGAGUCUUUGAACGCACAUUGCGCCCCCUGGUAUUCCGGGGGGCAUGCCUGUCCGAGCGUCAUUGCUGCCCUCAAGCACGGCUUGUGUGUUGGGCUCCGUCCCCCCGGGGACGGGCCCGAAAGGCAGCGGCGGCACCGAGUCCGGUCCUCGAGCGUAUGGGGCUUUGUCACCCGCUCUGUAGGCCCGGCCGGCGCCAGCCGACAACCCAUCAUCCUUUUCAGGUUGACCUCGGAUCAGGUAGGGAUACCCGCUGAACUUAAGCAUAUCAAUAAGCGGGGA
Molecule: unclassified non-coding RNA, 338 nt
Filed under: soil metagenome
Description: partial contains 5.8S ribosomal RNA, internal transcribed spacer 2, and large subunit ribosomal RNA
Rfam family: 5.8S ribosomal RNA (bases 1-120)
Source: RNAcentral